CCUGAUCCCGCCCGCUUUGUUGCCUCUCUCUUUUUCAUACCUCUUAAACUCUUCCUUUCUGGCUUCACCUUCCCUUCCUCCUCGCACCCUCCGAGUACAUCUCCUUUUAGAAUCGACUGUCUGUAAGCCAAGAGCCGCUGUCACCAGAUCCCCUCCGACCCACAAAUUUCCCAGGAAUGGUAUGCGAUCCCACUUGGCAGCUCCACAGACGCUAACUGCUCGGCCACAUCUCGCAGGGUUUUUCUGGACCUGCUGAGCCACCGAUCACAGCUCGCAUGUUGUCACCGCACUGAAGACGUGUCUCGGCGUUUGAUGGCGCAGAACGUGAAGCAGAACGCCAGCUCGCAGCGGUGAGAGCCCGCAUCUAAAAUAUCCACCAGUUGGCUGGAGCAGUAAAGUUCAGUGGUCAUCAUCAUCAUCAUCAUCAUCAUCAUCAUCAUCUUCAUCAUCAUCAUGAUUGUACUCCUUCAUUUUCCACCGACAACAGUGUGGGCCAGCUACAUAGGGCAAGAGGCAGGGGACACACUUGAUA
Molecule: long non-coding RNA, 532 nt
Organism: Synchiropus splendidus (mandarinfish)
Lineage: Eukaryota; Metazoa; Chordata; Actinopteri; Syngnathiformes; Callionymidae
Exons: 3
Source: RefSeq, a predicted model, not a curated record